UACAGAAGGUGCGAGCGUUAAUCGGAAUUACUGGGCGUAAAGGGUGCGUAGGUGGUUUUGUAAGUUAAGUGUGAAAGUCCUGGGCUUAACCUGGGGAUUGCGCCUAAUACUGCAAAGCUAGAGUACUGUAGAGGAAAGUGGAAUUUCCAGUGUAGCGGUGAAAUGCGUAGAUAUCGGGAGGAACACCUGUGGCGAAAGCGGCGCACUGGACCACAACUGACGCUGAGGCGCGAAAGCUAGGGGAGCAAACAGG
RNAcentral lists this ribosomal RNA (253 nucleotides) under uncultured bacterium. RNAcentral's name for it is "partial 16S ribosomal RNA". It matches the Rfam family "Bacterial small subunit ribosomal RNA", at positions 524 to 776 of the family's 1533-position model. The record is from RNAcentral.